Molecule: long non-coding RNA, 343 nt
Organism: Pipra filicauda (Wire-tailed manakin)
Lineage: Eukaryota; Metazoa; Chordata; Aves; Passeriformes; Pipridae
Exons: 3
Source: RefSeq, a predicted model, not a curated record
GAGAUUAAACCCUGCCUCUGAAUUUCCCUAAACUGGAUAGUAAGGAAAGUCAGCUCUGCCAUGUAUCAGGUGAAAGCUGGGACCAAACACCGCUCCUUGGACAGAAAGUGUUAUCAGCCACUUGGCUCUUCCUUCUGAUGCAGCUUUCAGGGAUCCAGGCUUUCAUCUUAAGCCCAACAUCCAGACUUUGGUACCCAUUCUGAAGUGUUGGGGCUCCUGCUUGUACUCCUUGCCACAUUUGCCUGGAGCUGCUGGUUGUACUGGAGAAAACUCAAGGAUCCAGGAGUAUCAGUGGGAAGAGGGAAGAUCUUGCAGAGAUCAGUGCUAUAAAGAGCAAUAAAGC